CUAUACAUGCAAGUCGAACGCUUCUUUUUCCACCGGAGCUUGCUCCACCGGAAAAAGAGGAGUACGCGAACGGGUGAGUAACACGUGGGUAACCUGCCCAUCAGAAGGGGAUAACACUUGGAAACAGGUGCUAAUACCGUAUAACAAUCGAAACCGCAUGGUUUUGAUUUGAAAGGCGCUUUCGGGUGUCGCUGAUGGAUGGACCCGCGGUGCAUUAGCUAGUUGGUGAGGUAACGGCUCACCAAGGCGACGAUGCAUAGCCGACCUGAGAGGGUGAUCGGCCACAUUGGGACUGAGACACGGCCCAAACUCCUACGGGAGGCAGCAGUAGGGAAUCUUCGGCAAUGGACGAAAGUCUGACCGAGCAACGCCGCGUGAGUGAAGAAGGUUUUCGGAUCGUAAAACUCUGUUGUUAGAGAAGAACAAGGAUGAGAGUAACUGUUCAUCCCUUGACGGUAUCUAACCAGAAAGCCACGGCUAACUACGUGCCAGCAGCCGCGGUAAUACGUAGGUGGCAAGCGUUGUCCGGAUUUAUUGGGCGUAAAGCGAGCGCAGGCGGUUUCUUAAGUCUGAUGUGAAAGCCCCCGGCUCAACCGGGGAGGGUCAUUGGAAACUGGGAGACUUGAGUGCAGAAGAGGAGAGUGGAAUUCCAUGUGUAGCGGUGAAAUGCGUAGAUAUAUGGAGGAACACCAGUGGCGAAGGCGGCUCUCUGGUCUGUAACUGACGCUGAGGCUCGAAAGCGUGGGGAGCAAACAGGAUUAGAUACCCUGGUAGUCCACGCCGUAAACGAUGAGUGCUAAGUGUUGGAGGGUUUCCGCCCUUCAGUGCUGCAGCUAACGCAUUAAGCACUCCGCCUGGGGAGUACGACCGCAAGGUUGAAACUCAAAGGAAUUGACGGGGGCCCGCACAAGCGGUGGAGCAUGUGGUUUAAUUCGAAGCAACGCGAAGAACCUUACCAGGUCUUGACAUCCUUUGACCACUCUAGAGAUAGAGCUUCCCCUUCGGGGGCAAAGUGACAGGUGGUGCAUGGUUGUCGUCAGCUCGUGUCGUGAGAUGUUGGGUUAAGUCCCGCAACGAGCGCAACCCUUAUUGUUAGUUGCCAUCAUUUAGUUGGGCACUCUAGCAGGACUGCCGGUGACAAACCGGAGGAAGGUGGGGAUGACGUCAAUCAUCAGGCCCUUAUGACCUGGGCUACCACCUGCUACAUGGGAAGUAAACGAAUCCCAAGUCGCGAGGCUAACUAAUCUCUAAGCUUCCUCAUUCGGAUGGAGGCGCAAUCCGCAACUGAACCGGAAUCCUUUUAAUCCGGAAACCCCCGCC
RNAcentral lists this ribosomal RNA (1320 nucleotides) under Enterococcus hirae. Its description in RNAcentral is "bacterial SSU rRNA". It matches the Rfam family "Bacterial small subunit ribosomal RNA", at positions 49 to 1358 of the family's 1533-position model. Lineage: Bacteria; Bacillati; Bacillota; Bacilli; Lactobacillales; Enterococcaceae. The record is from RNAcentral.